This 26-nucleotide non-coding RNA is filed under the name Rattus norvegicus (Norway rat). Lineage: Eukaryota; Metazoa; Chordata; Mammalia; Rodentia; Muridae. The record is from RNAcentral.
UUCCUCAUGCGUGACCGGGGCGGGGC